AGUGAACGCUGGCGGUAGGCCUAACACAUGCAAGUCGAACGGCAGCACAGGAGAGCUUGCUCUCUGGGUGGCGAGUGGCGGACGGGUGAGGAAUACAUCGGAAUCUACUUUUUCGUGGGGGAUAACGUAGGGAAACUUACGCUAAUACCGCAUACGACCUACGGGUGAAAGCAGGGGACCUUCGGGCCUUGCGUGAUUGAAUGAGCCGAUGUCGCAUUAGCUAGUUGGCGGGGUAAAGGCCAACCAAGGCGACGAUCCGUAGCUGGUCUGAGAGGAUGAUCAGCCACACUGGAACUGAGACACGGUCCAGACUCCUAAGGGAGGCAGCAGUGGGGAAUAUUGGACAAUGGGCGCAAGCCUGAUCCAGCCAUACCGCGUGGGUGAAGAAGGCCUUCGGGUUGUAAAGCCCUUUUGUUGGGAAAGAAAUCCAGCUGGCUAAUACCCGGUUGGGAUGACGGUACGCAAAGAAUAAGCACCGGCUAACUUCGUGCCAGCAGCCGCGGUAA
This 506-nucleotide ribosomal RNA is filed under the name uncultured bacterium. RNAcentral describes it as "partial 16S ribosomal RNA". It matches the Rfam family "Bacterial small subunit ribosomal RNA", at positions 29 to 523 of the family's 1533-position model. The record is from RNAcentral.